This 405-nucleotide ribosomal RNA is filed under the name uncultured bacterium. RNAcentral's name for it is "bacterial SSU rRNA". It matches the Rfam family "Bacterial small subunit ribosomal RNA", at positions 356 to 772 of the family's 1533-position model. The record is from RNAcentral.
GGGGAAUAUUGCACAAUGGGCGAAAGCCUGAUGCAGCGACGCCGCGUGAGGGAUGAAGGCCUUCGGGUUGUAAACCUCUUUCAGCAGGGAAGAAGCGAGAGUGACGGUACCUGCAGAAGAAGCGCCGGCUAACUACGUGCCAGCAGCCGCGGUAAUACGUAGGGCGCAAGCGUUGUCCGGAUUUAUUGGGCGUAAAGAGCUCGUAGGCGGUUUUGUCGCGUCUGCUGUGAAAACCUGGGGCUUAACUCCGGGCCUGCAGUGGGUACGGGCAGACUAGAGUGCGGUAGGGGAGAUUGGAAUUCCUGGUGUAGCGGUGGAAUGCGCAGAUAUCAGGAGGAACACCGAUGGCGAAGGCAGAUCUCUGGGCCGUAACUGACGCUGAGGAGCGAAAGCGUGGGGAGCGAA